This is a long non-coding RNA of Dioscorea cayenensis subsp. rotundata (Guinea yam), 484 nucleotides long. RefSeq lists it as uncharacterized. NCBI's taxonomy places the organism in Eukaryota, Viridiplantae, Streptophyta, Magnoliopsida, Dioscoreales, Dioscoreaceae. The record is from RefSeq and is a predicted model, not a curated record. The transcript has 3 exons.
CCGAAAUUUCUUCUCACGUUCUUCCAUCAAUGGCAUUGAUGUUAGAAACAUAUUGGCAUCAGAGCAACAAAAGAUUCUCUCCGGAUGCAAAAUACUAUUCAGCCGCAUUUUUCCAAUUGGUGAAACCAAUCCUCAUCAACAUCCCCUUUGGCAAACUUGUGAGAAGUUUGGUGCUAUUUGUACUAAUCAAAUUGAUGAAGAUAUUACCCAUGUUGUGGCUAAUUCUCUUGGAACUGAAAAGGUUAAGUGGGCUCUUUCAACUGAGAAAUUUGUUGUAAAUCCUGGAUGGAUAAAAGCUUCGGCAUUUUUGUAUAAUCGGGCGGACGAGAAGCAAUUCACCUUAAAAAAUUAGAUUAUCACCAUCAAAUUAAUUAAUAUAGUUCAUAUUAAUUUAAAUGAGGGUUUCAUGAAUCACAAAUGCAUUUGUUGACCAUGAGCCAAUACUUACAAGUUUAGAACAUAAACAUAAAGUGAAGCUAUAAAA